This 468-nucleotide ribosomal RNA is filed under the name uncultured bacterium. RNAcentral describes it as "partial 16S ribosomal RNA". It matches the Rfam family "Bacterial small subunit ribosomal RNA", at positions 28 to 507 of the family's 1533-position model. The record is from RNAcentral.
GACGAACGCUGGCGGCGUGCUUAACACAUGCAAGUCGAACGGAAAGGCCCUGCUUUUGUGCGUUUCUCGAUUGGCGAACGGGUGAGUGACACGUGUGUAACCUGCCCUUGACUUUGGGAUAACUUCAGGAAACUGGGGCUCAUACCGGAUAUGAGCUCCUGCUGCAUGGUGGGGGUUGGAAAGUGUCGGCGGUUGGGGAUGGACUCGCGGCUUAUCAGCUUGUUGGGGGGGUAGUGGCUGACCAGGGCUUUGACGGGUAGCCGGCCUGAGAGGGUGACCGGCCACAUUGGGACUGAGAUACGGACCAGAAUCCUACGGGAGGCAGUAGUGGGGAAUAUUGCACAAUGGGCGGAAGCCUGAUGCAGCAACGCCGCGUGCGGGAUGACGGCCUUCGGGUUGUAAACCGAUUUCGCCUGUGACGAAGCGUGAGUGACGGUAAUGGGUAAAGAAGCAACGGCUAACUACGUG